This 304-nucleotide ribosomal RNA is filed under the name Complexobursa sp. Its description in RNAcentral is "bacterial SSU rRNA". The stretch from base 73 to 304 matches the Rfam family "Eukaryotic small subunit ribosomal RNA", at positions 630 to 868 of the family's 1831-position model. The record is from RNAcentral. Lineage: Eukaryota; Metazoa; Platyhelminthes; Trematoda; Strigeidida; Fellodistomidae.
UCUGGGUCGCAUGGCUACAUGCCGUUGCUUAUGCCUUGUCGUACAACCGUCCGGUCAAGGACGUGCGAUGGUGUAGUGGUUGUGCAGCCUUUCUGCCGUGUCUGUGAAAACGGGUGCUGACUGGGUCUUUUAGACCUGUCGGCAUGCUUCCGGAUGCCUUUAACUGGGUGUCCGGGGCGGACGGCACGUUUACUUUGAACAAAUUUGAGUGCUCAAAGCAGGCCAUAGUGCCUGAAAAUCUUGCAUGGAAUAAUGAAAUAGGACUUCGGUUCUAUUUUGUUGGUUUUCGGAUCCGAAGUAAUGG